GGAAAGCCCAAGCUAACUGACCCAAACGAAUGAAAGCCCAAACUGUUUCAAACUGAUGAAAUAUCAAAUCGUCCAAAUAUCAUUCGAUUGCUCGAAUCGAAUCAGCCACCGGAGAAGAGAACCGAUCGACGAAGCAAAAGAACCUCCAAAUCAGAAACACACAAGAGCGAAUCCAAAGCAGAAACAGCCAAAGAACUGAUCGACGAAGCCAAAGAACCUCCACAAUCACACCGAAGCUUCCCACGAACUGCUUGAACCAGUGGGAAUCCAAAUCGGAAACACAGAACGGCUCUGGAUGCUCGUUGCAGAGUAGCCUCCACAAUACCGAAGCCUAUUCUGAUCUUCAGCCGCCGAUAAGUGACCAGUAAGUGUCGUUUUUUAUUUAUUUUUAUUUUUCGCUUUUAACCAAAAGUACCGCCCAAACCUUUGCACCACCAACGACAAUCCCUCAGAUUUUCAGAAACUCUCAAACCCUAAUUUAGAGAAUUAGGCUCUGAUACCAUGCUAAUUGAUUUGGAAAAAUCUCACCUUCAAGUUUAUUCACCAACCGGUAACACACACACACACACACACAUA
This 576-nucleotide long non-coding RNA is filed under the name Olea europaea subsp. europaea. The record is from RNAcentral. Lineage: Eukaryota; Viridiplantae; Streptophyta; Magnoliopsida; Lamiales; Oleaceae.